This 310-nucleotide small nuclear RNA is filed under the name Dipodomys ordii (Ord's kangaroo rat). Its description in RNAcentral is "7SK RNA". It matches the Rfam family "7SK RNA". From Rfam's summary of the family: 7SK was discovered as an abundant small nuclear RNA in the mid-70s but a possible function has only recently been suggested. Two independent studies have found that 7SK RNA binds the CDK9/cyclin T complex (known as elongation factor P-TEFb). The record is from Rfam by way of RNAcentral. Lineage: Eukaryota; Metazoa; Chordata; Mammalia; Rodentia; Heteromyidae.
GGAUGUGAGGGUGAUCUGGCUGUGAUAUCUGUCACCCCAUUGAUCACAAGGGUUGAUUCGACUGAUCUGGCUGGCUAGGCGGGUGUCCCUUCCUCCCUCACCACUCCAUGUGCGUCCCUCCCUAAGCGCUCUGUCAAGAAGAGGAUGACAUCACGUUAUCUGACCUUUUCCGCUUGACUCAUACAUAUACUAGAUUUUGCAUAUAAGGGAAACCAUGGGACCUAUGUUUCUUUGGGCCUGGCUUACUUCACUUAAUAUAAUUUUUUCCAAGUUUUUCCAUUUCCUAACAAAUGGGGCAAUGUCAUUCUUU